UACCAGCACCCCGAGGUGGUCGGGACGUUUAUUGGGCCUAAAGCAUCCGUAGCCGGUUCUACAAGUCUUCCGUUAAAUCCAACUGCUUAACAGGUGGGCUGCCGGAAGAUACUAUAGAGCUAGGAGGCGGGAGAGGCAAGCGGGUACUCGAAUGGGUGAGGGGUAAAAUCCGUUGAUCCAUUGAAGACCACCAGUGGCGAAGGCGGCUUGCCAGAACGCGCUCGACGGUGAGGGAUGAAAGCUGGGGGAGCAAACCGGAUUAGAUAACCCGGG
RNAcentral lists this ribosomal RNA (273 nucleotides) under uncultured bacterium. RNAcentral describes it as "partial 16S ribosomal RNA". It matches the Rfam family "Archaeal small subunit ribosomal RNA", at positions 474 to 741 of the family's 1478-position model. The record is from RNAcentral.